Molecule: long non-coding RNA, 751 nt
Organism: Neogale vison (American mink)
Lineage: Eukaryota; Metazoa; Chordata; Mammalia; Carnivora; Mustelidae
Exons: 4
Source: RefSeq, a predicted model, not a curated record
GACCAGGAGGAUGGGAUUCUUUACCUGGCCAGCCUGAAUCGCAUGUCUAAUCCUGCAUUGGGAGAGGCUGGGACCGAGAGUCCCUAGGUGAGAAGCUGUAGGAUAUCUGAGGCAGGAGACUGUGGGAGAAUGGAGAUUUCUCUCAGAGACCAAAGGCAUCCAUCAUGAGCCCUUUGCAUUGCCCUCAUGAAACUUGGGAGCAUGGAGACCCGAAGCAAAUAACCGUAAAGCUCACCACUGCUUUUGCUACAGAAAAAUGAAGAUAAUCAGAAUUUUUCCUCCCUAUCUCAUGACCCACUGGCACCUUUCUGAGUACUACUAAAGAAAGAGGAGAAGGUUCUCUACUCUCAAAUUCCCUCACCUACCUGCCAUUGAAUCAGUCUUUCCAAGGUUUGACUGCUAGCAAGGCACAUGGCCCUGCCCUGGAGACUCUUGCUUUCCAAGACCAUGGAAUAUUUGGCUAAAGAAGGAGCAAAAAAAGCUGGCUCUUGGUAGGAUGACCAGCUGUCCUGAUUUUCCUAGGACCGAAGGUAUUCUCAGAACAUGAGAGGUUCCUUUUUUCAAACCAGGAUAGUCCUGGGCAAAGCACGACAUGUUGGUUGCCCUACUAAACCUAUAGUUCCACACAUUAUGGUAUAAGUUUACAUCAUGUUGUCCUCAAAGUCUAGGGUUCUUAAGCUCAAAAGUCAAGAAUUGGACUUUUUCCCUGCAUUUUUCUCUAACACCCAUAUCCUAAGGAAGAAAAAAGAAG